AUUGAACGCUGGCGGAAUGCUUUACACAUGCAAGUCGAACGGCAGCACGGGUGCUUGCACCUGGUGGCGAGUGGCGAACGGGUGAGUAAUGCACCGGAACGUAUCCAAUAAUGGGGGAUAACGCACCGAAAGGUGUGCUAAUACCGCAUACGCCCUGAGGGGGAAAGCGGGGGAUCGUAAGACCUCGCGUUAAUGGAGCGGCCGAUGCCGGAUUAGCUAGUUGGUGAGGUAAAGGCUCACCAAGGCGACGAUCCGUAGCUGGUCUGAGAGGACGACCAGCCACACUGGAACUGAGACACGGUCCAGACUCCUACGGGAGGCAGCAGUGGGGAAUUUUGGACAAUGGGCGCAAGCCUGAUCCAGCCAUUCCGCGUGAGUGAAGAAGGCCUUCGGGUUGUUAAAGGAC
RNAcentral lists this ribosomal RNA (406 nucleotides) under uncultured bacterium. Its description in RNAcentral is "bacterial SSU rRNA". It matches the Rfam family "Bacterial small subunit ribosomal RNA", at positions 30 to 431 of the family's 1533-position model. The record is from RNAcentral.